CCUGCCUCAGCUCCAUGUUCCUCACUACAUCAACAUGUUAGACCCCUGAAUCUUCAUGGGGGUUUAUCUCCCACGCUCUGGCCAUGUUCUUGCCACUUCCUACUUCCCCAGCAGCAGGGGCAUGGGGUGCUGGCCCAGGGAGGAGGGGUGGGUUAUGUCCUGACAGCAUCCACGCCAGUAUUCUUGGUCCUCUUGACGUUCCCGACACUACUCUGGGCCGCCGGGUCGGCUCUAGCAGCUCGUAUCUUCCCCCUUCUUUGGAGAACUGCAGUCUGUCCCAUCACAGGGAGCCUACCAGGGAGGUCACUGCCCCGUGAAGGGCCGGUCAGUCACACUGGCCACGUGGAGGUCGAGUCAGUGGUGCAAUUCACCUUCCAGAGACCCCUGCGAGACCAGAAGGAGGAAAAUCACCAGCCCAAAUGCAUCACGGUAAUUAGCUUUCUUCUCCUGCUCUGUCCUAUUUGUCAUUCCGCUUCUGAAACCCACCCUCCCUGCCAAAAAUCCCUGCCUCUGGAUCUGUGUCUAGGGUGCCUGAGUUAAGACAGCCCCUGGGAUUUCCCUGGUGGCACAGUGGAUAGCAAUCCACCUGCCAGUGCCAGGGACACGGAUUUCGAUCCGCGGUCUGGGAAGAUCCCACGUGCCAUGGAGCAAGUGCACCCGGGCACCACCACUACUGGAGGCCGUGUGCCUGAGAGCCUGUGACCCACAAGCAACGCCACCGCGAUGACAAGCCAGCGCACCGCAGUGAAGAGCAGCCCCCACUCGCGGCAACCAGAGAGAGCCUGUGCGCAGCAAUGAAGACCCAGCGCAGCCAGAAAUAAAUCAAUUAACUAAAGGGAAGGGACAAAAAAGCCCAGAGG
RNAcentral lists this long non-coding RNA (860 nucleotides) under Capra hircus (goat). RNAcentral describes it as "lncRNA (ENSCHIG00010000869.1)". Lineage: Eukaryota; Metazoa; Chordata; Mammalia; Artiodactyla; Bovidae. The record is from RNAcentral.